AACAACAACAACAACAAACCCAGUGUAUUCCCACCUGGUGGGGUCUGGGGGGGUAGGAUGUACGCAGUCCAUACCUCUACCUCUGAAGAAGUAGAAAGGCUGUUUCCGAUAGACCCCCGGCUCGAGACACGCGGUACCACACAAACACAUAGUAAAGCACAACACAAGGUUACAAGAUUACAUAACAUAAAUACGGCACCCAUAAGUAAUAUAAAACAGAGGAAAGCACACAGCUUCAUAAUAAAACAUGGGACACGGACUCCUAACAGGAAUAAACCCCCACCAAGU
Molecule: long non-coding RNA, 288 nt
Filed under: Capsicum annuum
Lineage: Eukaryota; Viridiplantae; Streptophyta; Magnoliopsida; Solanales; Solanaceae
Description: long non-coding RNA (CANN_LNC017172)
Source: RNAcentral